This 301-nucleotide ribosomal RNA is filed under the name uncultured bacterium. Its description in RNAcentral is "partial 16S ribosomal RNA". It matches the Rfam family "Bacterial small subunit ribosomal RNA", at positions 509 to 807 of the family's 1533-position model. The record is from RNAcentral.
CAGUAGCCGCGGUAAUACAGAGGGUGCGAGCGUUAAUCGGAUUUACUGGGCGUAAAGCGUGCGUAGGCGGCUUUUUAAGUCGGAUGUGAAAUCCCUGAGCUUAACUUAGGAAUUGCAUUCGAUACUGGGAAGCUAGAGUAUGGGAGAGGUUGGUAGAAUUCCAGGUGUAGCGGUGAAAUGCGUAGAGAUCUGGAGGAAUACCGAUGGCGAAGGCAGCCAUCUGGCCUAAUACUGACGCUGAGGUACGAAAGCAUGGGGAGCAAACAGGAUUAGAUACCCCAGUAGUCCCUGUCUCUUAUAC